UACGUAGGGCGCAAGCGUUAUCCGGAAUUAUUGGGCGUAAAGAGCGUGUAGGCGGCCUUACAGGUCAGCUGUGAAAACUCGAGGCUCAACCUCGAGACGUCGGUUGAAACCGUAUGGCUAGAGUCCGGAAGAGGAGAGUGGAAUUCCCGGUGUAGCGGUGAAAUGCGCAGAUAUCGGGAAGAACACCCGUGGCGAAGGCGGCUCUCUGGGACGGUACUGACGCUGAGACGCGAAAGCGUGGGGAGCGAACAGG
This 253-nucleotide ribosomal RNA is filed under the name uncultured bacterium. Its description in RNAcentral is "partial 16S ribosomal RNA". It matches the Rfam family "Bacterial small subunit ribosomal RNA", at positions 524 to 776 of the family's 1533-position model. The record is from RNAcentral.